This 908-nucleotide ribosomal RNA is filed under the name uncultured bacterium. RNAcentral's name for it is "bacterial SSU rRNA". It matches the Rfam family "Bacterial small subunit ribosomal RNA", at positions 33 to 932 of the family's 1533-position model. The record is from RNAcentral.
ACGCUAGCUAUAGGCUUAACACAUGCAAGUCGAGGGGAAACGGCAUUAUGUGCUUGCACAUUUUGGACGUCGACCGGCGCACGGGUGAGUAUCGCGUAUCCAACCUGCCCUUUACUUGGGGAUACCCCGUUGAAAGACGGCCUAAUACCCGAUGUAAUUCAUUGAUGGCAUCAGAUAUGAAUAAAAGAUUUAUCGGUAAAGGAUGGGGAUGCGUCUGAUUAGCUUGUUGGUGAGGUAACGGCUCACCAAGGCGACGAUCAGUAGGGGUUCUGAGAGGAAGGUCCCCCACAUUGGAACUGAGACACGGUCCAAACUCCUACGGGAGGCAGCAGUGAGGAAUAUUGGUCAAUGGGCGCAAGCCUGAACCAGCCAAGUAGCGUGCAGGAAGACGGCCCUAUGGGUUGUAAACUGCUUUUAUACGAGAAUAAUUUGAUGCACGUGUGCGUUAUUGCAUGUAUCGUAUGAAUAAGGACCGGCUAAUUCCGUGCCAGCAGCCGCGGUAAUACGGAAGGUCCAGGCGUUAUCCGGAUUUAUUGGGUUUAAAGGGAGUGUAGGCGGUUUGUUAAGCGUGUUGUGAAAUUUAGGUGCUCAACAUUUAACUUGCAGCGCGAACUGUCAGACUUGAGUACACGCAACGUAUGCGGAAUUCAUGGUGUAGCGGUGAAAUGCUUAGAUAUCAUGAAGAACUCCGAUUGCGAAGGCAGCAUACGGGAGUGUAACUGACGCUUAAGCUCGAAGGUGCGGGUAUCGAACAGGAUUAGAUACCCUGGUAGUCCGCACAGUAAACGAUGGAUGCCCGCUGUUAGCGCCUGGCGUUAGCGGCUAAGCGAAAGCAUUAAGCAUCCCACCUGGGGAGUACGCCGGCAACGGUGAAACUCAAAGGAAUUGACGGGGGCCCGCACAAGCGG